GUGAGUGGCGAACUGGUGAGUAACACGUGGGAAACCUGCCCAGAAGCGGGGGAUAACACCUGGAAACAGAUGCUAAUACCGCAUAACAACUUGGACCGCAUGGUCCGAGUUUGAAAGAUGGCUUCGGCUAUCACUUUUGGAUGGUCCCGCGGCGUAUUAGCUAGAUGGUGGGGUAACGGCUCACCAUGGCAAUGAUACGUAGCCGACCUGAGAGGGUAAUCGGCCACAUUGGGACUGAGACACGGCCCAAACUCCUACGGGAGGCAGCAGUAGGGAAUCUUCCACAAUGGACGAAAGUCUGAUGGAGCAACGCCGCGUGAGUGAAGAAGGGUUUCGGCUCGUAAAACUCUGUUGUUAAAGAAGAACAUAUCUGAGAGUAACUGUUCAGGUAUUGACGGUAUUUAACCAGAAAGCCACGGCUAACUACGUGCCAGCAGCCGCGGUAAUACGUAGGUGGCAAGCGUUGUCCGGAUUUAUUGGGCGUAAAGCGAGCGCAGGCGGUUUUUUAAGUCUGAUGUGAAAGCCUUCGGCUCAACCGAAGAAGUGCAUCGGAAACUGGGAAACUUGAGUGCAGAAGAGGACAGUGGAACUCCAUGUGUAGCGGUGAAAUGCGUAGAUAUAUGGAAGAACACCAGUGGCGAAGGCGGCUGUCUGGUCUGUAACUGACGCUGAGGCUCGAAAGUAUGGGUAGCAAACAGGAUUAGAUACCCUGGUAGUCCAUACCGUAAACGAUGAAUGCUAAGUGUUGGAGGGUUUCCGCCCUUCAGUGCUGCAGCUAACGCAUUAAGCAUUCCGCCUGGGGAGUACGGCCGCAAGGCUGAAACUCAAAGGAAUUGACGGGGGCCCGCACAAGCGGUGGAGCAUGUGGUUUAAUUCGAAGCUACGCGAAGAACCUUACCAGGUCUUGACAUACUAUGCAAAUCUAAGAGAUUAGACGUUCCCUUCGGGGACAUGGAUACAGGUGGUGCAUGGUUGUCGUCAGCUCGUGUCGUGAGAUGUUGGGUUAAGUCCCGCAACGAGCGCAACCCUUAUUAUCAGUUGCCAGCAUUAAGUUGGGCACUCUGGUGAGACUGCCGGUGACAAACCGGAGGAAGGUGGGGAUGACGUCAAAUCAUCAUGCCCCUUAUGACCUGGGCUACACACGUGCUACAAUGGAUGGUACAACGAGUUGCGAACUCGCGAGAGUAAGCUAAUCUCUUAAAGCCAUUCUCAGUUCGGAUUGUAGGCUGCAACUCGCCUACAUGAAGUCGGAAUCGCUAGUAAUCGCGGAUCAGCAUGCCGCGGUGAAUACGUUCCCGGGCCUUGUACACACCGCCCGUCACACCAU
RNAcentral lists this ribosomal RNA (1327 nucleotides) under Lactobacillus sp. RNAcentral's name for it is "bacterial SSU rRNA". It matches the Rfam family "Bacterial small subunit ribosomal RNA", at positions 91 to 1405 of the family's 1533-position model. Lineage: Bacteria; Bacillati; Bacillota; Bacilli; Lactobacillales; Lactobacillaceae. The record is from RNAcentral.